Molecule: ribosomal RNA, 20 nt
Filed under: Vulpicida pinastri
Lineage: Eukaryota; Fungi; Ascomycota; Lecanoromycetes; Lecanorales; Parmeliaceae
Description: partial small subunit ribosomal RNA
Source: RNAcentral
UGCGUGCGGAAGGAUCAUUA